Molecule: long non-coding RNA, 1454 nt
Filed under: Nicotiana benthamiana
Lineage: Eukaryota; Viridiplantae; Streptophyta; Magnoliopsida; Solanales; Solanaceae
Description: long non-coding RNA (NBEN_LNC003318)
Source: RNAcentral
AUUUCUAUGACGUUAGCCUUGUGGAUGGCUAUAACUUGCCUAUGUUAGUGAGCCCACAAGGUGGUACCGGCGCCGGUAAUUGUUCGGCAACUGGGUGUGUUGUGGACCUUAAUGGGCCGUGUCCGGCGGAGCUGAAGAUGAUGAAUACCGGUGGCGACGGAAGCAGCGGCGAGUGCGUGGCAUGCAAGAGCGCGUGUGAAGCGUUUGGGGAUCCCAGAUAUUGUUGUAGUGGGCCUUAUGCUACGCCUGAUACAUGCAUGCCGACGGAUUACUCGGAGUUUUUCAAGAGUUUAUGCCCACGCGCUUACAGCUAUGCGUAUGAUGAUGGGACCAGCACCUUCACUGGAGCUGAAGAUGAUGAGUACCGAUAGCGACGGAAGCGGCGGCGAGUGUGUGGCAUGCAAGAGCGCGUGUGAAGCGUUUAGGGAUCCCAGAUUUUGUUGUAGUGGGCCCUAUGCUACGCCUGAUACAUGCAAGCCGACGGAUUACUCGGAGUUUUUCAAGACUUCAUGCCCACGCGCUUACAGCUAUGCGUAUGAUGAUGGAACCAGCACCUUCACUUGUGCUUCUGCUGAUUAUGUCAUCACAUUUUGUCCUGCUCCUGCCGCUAGGUACAUUAUACAUACUUCGCCGCUUUCCUUAUCAAGCAAGUUCUUUUCUCAAUUUGGUUCAAUUUAAUGUCUCUUCGGUUUCUCCUUUUUUAGUUUUUCCAAUUAAUUUCCCUUUCUCCAUGGUUUUUUAAUAUUUGGCGUUGAGGUGUAGCUUUAGUUUAGUUAAACCUUUAGGGAUAUUUUGGUUGGAAAUUAGUUAUCCCAAAAUUAAUUAUUCAGAAUUUGUUGUCUCGAGUUUCCAUAGGGAAAGAUAAUAUUACAAUUCUAAAAUUAGUUAUAUCGCGAUUUUAUCUCAACUAAACGUGCCAUAAGUUCAUUUCAAAUUUAAUUUUGAAAUAAGUUUUUAUAUAUAUAUAUACAUAUGUUGAUAGGUUAAUUAAAUCAUUUCGUUAGUGCCUUCCAAUAGAAUUAUUUAUUAGCAAAGCAUGUGUUUGGUUAGGCUAAGAAGUAGUGAUAUCAUGCAAAAGGGCGGUUAUUUGGUGAGAUUUGUUAAACAAGUAACAUGGAAUGCAAAUAUAUAUGUUUCAUGUUCUUGUCGGAAAUGAGAGCAUAUGUGUUGUCAGUUGUCUCACACUACCUUUUGAUCUUAGAAUGAGUCACACCUAGAAGUGAAGCUCAAAGUAUUGUUGGCUUGAUUUUAAGCAAACUAAGAAAUUCCAAAAGCUGAGAAUAGGAUGGGAGAGGGUUGGGGCCAUGUGAUAGUGCUUACAUCUUGGCUUCUAAUAGUCGGUUUGUUGUGUCAUUUUAAUAAGAAGCUAUGCUUUUCAUGUUUACGUAGAUUCAAAAUGCUUACUUAUGUUCUAACAAAUUGAGGCACCGUCCACGCUCAAUUAUCAAUGUUAU